UACGAAGGGGGCUAGCGUUGUUCGGAAUUACUGGGCGUAAAGGGCGCGUAGGCGGUUGCUCAAGUCAGGCGUGAAAGCCCCGGGCUCAACCUGGGAACAGCGCUUGAGACUGGGCGGCUUGAGUUCGGGAGAGGUGAGUGGAAUUCCCAGUGUAGAGGUGAAAUUCGUAGAUAUCUGGAGGAACACCGGUGGCGAAGGCGGCAUCCUGGACCGGCAUUGACGCUGAGGCGCGAAAGCCAGGGGAGCAAACGGG
RNAcentral lists this ribosomal RNA (253 nucleotides) under uncultured bacterium. RNAcentral's name for it is "partial 16S ribosomal RNA". It matches the Rfam family "Bacterial small subunit ribosomal RNA", at positions 524 to 776 of the family's 1533-position model. The record is from RNAcentral.